GGGGUUGUAGCUCAGUGGUAGAGCGCUCGCCUCACACGUGGGAGACACUGGGUUCAAUCCUCAGCACCACA
This 71-nucleotide transfer RNA is filed under the name Marmota monax (woodchuck). RNAcentral describes it as "tRNA.Val". It matches the Rfam family "tRNA". Rfam says of the family: Transfer RNA (tRNA) molecules are approximately 80 nucleotides in length. Their secondary structure includes four short double-helical elements and three loops (D, anti-codon, and T loops). Further hydrogen bonds mediate the characteristic L-shaped molecular structure. tRNAs have two regions of fundamental functional importance: the anti-codon, which is responsible for specific mRNA codon recognition, and the 3' end, to which the tRNAs corresponding amino acid is attached (by aminoacyl-tRNA synthetases). tRNAs cope with the degeneracy of the genetic code in two manners: having more than one tRNA (with a specific anti-codon) for a particular amino acid; and 'wobble' base-pairing, i.e. permitting non-standard base-pairing at the 3rd anti-codon position. The record is from RNAcentral. Lineage: Eukaryota; Metazoa; Chordata; Mammalia; Rodentia; Sciuridae.